AACGAACGCUGGCGGCAUGCCUAACACAUGCAAGUCGAACGAGACCUUCGGGUCUAGUGGCGCACUGGUGCGUAACGCGUGGGAAUCUGCCCUUGGGUUCGGAAUAACAGUUGGAAACGACUGCUAAUACCGGCUGAUGACGUAAGUCCAAAGAUUUAUCGCCCAGAGAUGAGCCCGCGUAGGAUUAGCUAGUUGGUGGGGUAAAGGCCUACCACGGCGACGAUCCUUAGCUGGUCUGAGAGGAUGAUCAGCCACACUGGGACUGAGACACGGCCCAGACUACUACGGGAGGCAGCAGUGGGGAAUAUUGGACAAUGGGCGAAAGCCUGAUCCAGCAAUGCCGCGUGAGUGAUGAAGGCCUUAGGGUUGUAAAGCUCUUUUACCCGGGAUGAUAAUGACAGUACCGGGAGAAUAAGCCCCGGCUAACUCCGUG
RNAcentral lists this ribosomal RNA (433 nucleotides) under uncultured bacterium. RNAcentral's name for it is "partial 16S ribosomal RNA". It matches the Rfam family "Bacterial small subunit ribosomal RNA", at positions 29 to 507 of the family's 1533-position model. The record is from RNAcentral.